This 77-nucleotide transfer RNA is filed under the name Streptosporangium sp. 'caverna'. RNAcentral's name for it is "tRNA-Phe". It matches the Rfam family "tRNA". Rfam says of the family: Transfer RNA (tRNA) molecules are approximately 80 nucleotides in length. Their secondary structure includes four short double-helical elements and three loops (D, anti-codon, and T loops). The record is from RNAcentral. Lineage: Bacteria; Bacillati; Actinomycetota; Actinomycetes; Streptosporangiales; Streptosporangiaceae.
GGUCAGGUAGCUCAGUCGGUACGAGCGUCCGCCUGAAAAGCGGAAGGUCGGCGGUUCGACCCCGCCCCUGACCACCU